AUUCGCGUCUGCGAGCUCCGGAGUGACUUUCCCUUCCUGUGAAGGCAAUCCGGCCCUUUCCGGUGGAGGACCCUUCCCCCUGGGUUGAUCUUGAGGAACUUAAGAGACGGUGUUUUGACUCGACUCCUUUCCCCUUUUUCCUCCCGUCCAAAGUGCGGGGCUUAUAUUGUUAGAAGACCACUUAAAAUGCUCCUGGAUUCUGACAAAUAUUGCAUGAGAAAUUUGCAAUCAGCCGUGAAGCAUGUUUCCCCUUCUGAAAGUUUAACACGUGCCGUAUCUACGGCUGGGAUCUAACACAUCCCAUUCCUACAGGGUAUCAAUAGUUUUCUACAGGUUCGGGACUACACUGUUUAAUAUAUAACCCCAACCCUUGGUACCGCACUGACCUUCAGUAUUUGGUUGCUGAAAUCUUCAAUGAUGAAAGGGCUGAGAUCCAGACCUUCUUAGAGAGAACACAGCCAGUGGAGAGUCACUCUAUGGCAGGAAAUAUUCUGUAUUGCCUUACAGGCAGAACUUGCUGAAACUCCAACCUCUGGAAAUUACUGGAACCCUGCAUUCUAGAACUUGCUGGAAACCCACCCUCUGGAAUUGGCCUGCUAGAGUGCCUGAGAAGGAUGUUCAUAGGGAAAUGUUUCAGCAGAGGAACUCUACUACAAAAACCACAAGAGGGAGGGUGCCAGGGGAAGUGGCCUGGUGCUAUUGAAACUGCAACACAGAAGCCAGCCACUGGAGAGAGCUGCACAAGCUGCAGGAACACCCUACCCAGUAAGCCGGCCAGAAGGAGGGAGCAAAACCUUUUCUCUCUGCAACAUCUUUCCAGUUUCCUCUACUGGAAAAGCUUCAUUGCCAGCUGACAAAAGGAAAAAUACUUAAAUGGAUCAGAUCCAUUUUCACAGAGCAGUCAAUAAUGGUGAAUUUGGAGAUGAUAAGCAACAAAUUGAUGAACUGGCACAACUUCCCUGCUACUUUCUUGAUUGUAAUGCCUAGAUAGGGAAUAGGAAAGUUAUUGAAAUGUAUGUGUUCCCAUGAAAUGUGUUUAUUUGUUGUUCAAGAUCAAUACUAAUAAAUGGGGACUAAUGUUCUGAAGUAUUUUGGAACAAUUAGAAUCACCACUCUUAACCCUGUGGCCAAAGUCUUAAAUGGACAGGGAGGAAAAUGUUUAUAAACUGAAGCAAAAAUUGAUCUACAUAGAAAAUAAAUCUGGAGUAUUUACUUGGGACUCUGCAGAGUUCCCCCUGGCAAGAAUGUUCUCACCAGAUGCAGCCUGUCAAUCUUGGACUUCCCAGCCUCCAGAAUCAUGAGGUAAAGAAACCUUUAUUUUUUAUAAAUUUCUUUUCUCAAAUAUUUAGUUAUAGCAACAUCAAGCAAAUGAAGACAAGCUAUUGUCAAAAAGACAAAAGAUAACAAGUGUUGGCAAGCAUGUAAGGAAAAAGAAACUCUUGCACACUGUUAGUGGAAAUAUAAAUUAGUACAACCAUUAUGGAAAAUUUUAUGGAGGUUCCUAAAAAUGUUAAAAAAAGAGCUACUAUAUGAUGUUACUACUGGUUAUAUAUCAAAACAAAAUGAAAUCAGUAUGUACAAAAGGUAUUUUCACUCCCAUGUUUAUUGCAGCAUUAUUUACAGUAGCCAAGAUAUGGAAUCAACCCAACUGUCCAUCAACAGAUAAAUGAAUAAGGAAAAUAUGGUAUAUACACAGUGGAAUACUAUUCAUUCAUUGAAAAGAAGGAAAUCCUGCCAUUUGCAUCAACAUGGAUGAACCUGGAGGAUAUUAAGUGAAACAAGCCAGGCACAGGAAGACAAAUACCACAUGCUUUCACUCAUAUAUGUGGAGCAUUGUACCCUGGAAUGCCAGUUCCUUGAUGAAGAGAUUGGAUUUUUUUGACUGAAUUCUAUAUACUUCUCCAAGUACCUGGUAUUUAGCGGCCUCUCAGCUAUUACUAAUACUUGUUUGGUCCUGGAGAUGUUUAAUAAUUACCUGUUGCUUUAUCUUGAGGAUAGCAGUCAAGUAGAAUGAAGACUGCUGAGGUGAAAAACAGACACACAAAAGCCUAAAUAGCCGAGAGUCCUCAGUUCACUGGAGGCUCCAGAUAUCUUCACAAUUGUAAAGACAGAAACAAAAAAUUUGAAAAAUACCAAAAGGAAAAAUAAGUGCAAACCAAAACAGGGAAUGACAAAGGAAGCCAUCUGAAGAUGCCUUCAUCAUCUGAACAUUUCUCAGUUGCUAUUUUACUUUUUGAAAGUAGACUGUUAUUUAAGAGUCAAUUGCAUUUAUCUGUGCCUCAUCUCCCCUAUUUAUUAUGCCUCCUCAAGGCAUUGGACAAUGUUAACCACAUUCCUUUUAACUCCCCAGAACAUUGAGUCUUAUGCAUCAAGUGAGAGCAAUUUAUAAGCCCUUCGUUAUGUUUUCCCGGAAACUAGAUGAAAGUGUUUUAAGUAAGGAGAAAUCACUUAAAAUGGUAAGCUUGUCUAUUUCUCUGCAUGGUUGAGGACGUCCAGCUGCUCUGGGCUGCAGUUUGUGUCCUGCCAUCCCUGCAAAACUUCUGCCUGAUAUCUGCCUUCACCACCACCCAACCCAAAGCAACUCUGAUUCUGGCAAGCUGACCUCUCUUUUUUCAGGGCAAUUUAUCUCUCCCUGUGCCCUGGGAGAGGCCAGACAACAGUCCUGAGAGACGCUGCCAGCAAGUUGUUUAUGCCAGGAGAGUGUUGCCCUACCCGUGGCCUCACUGCAGAGCCCUCUAUGGAGAGGGGAUGUAUCUGAUUCUGAUGUUCUUUUACAAAUCAAAUUUCUGCAUUUUAAUUUUUGUACCUCUUCUCAGACGCUGCAUUGUAUGAUAGAAUAUUUAUUUUAUUAUUAAAAAUGGUGAAUUAACUAGCACAUUGCUUUUUCUAUCUUAAUAACGACUAUCUUAAUUCUGUAAAAUUAUAAUGUAAGUCUUGAGUAAAGUAGUCAUUGCAGUAUUUUAUAAUCCUAGUCAUAUACCAGAGCUUUCUCAAGGGGAAAAGUAUUAUAGUUAUCUCUUCAAUAUUUGCUUAUGUGAAACAGUUAUUAACACCGUUUAUAGCUAACCCUGUCUGUAGUGACUGUUUUGAGAACCCUAAAUCUCUAAUUUAAAGGCCCAAGAUUUUAUCAGUUUGUAUGGAACCUGUGUUUGCUCCUCAGUCCUGGUUUCCUAAUAAACUUAUGAAGAUAUUUGUGAUGGAUUUCUGAAGAUUUCGAGUACAUGUGAGGGGAUUCAGUACAAAUUACAGGGAUUCAACACAUUGACAGCAGGAAAAAUGUAAUGAAUUGUUAGGUGGGGAAUGAUGUAAAGUGAAGUAAUCUGAAUAAAAGCCUAUAUUAUAUUUGUUAGCUGACUUAGUUUAUCUUUGUUGUCACUGAGGAAGCAUAAUUUUUUAUCUUCAGUAAUAGUGUAAGUUAUUGUACAAAGCCUAAAAAUUAGUAUUCUCUUUGUAAACAAAAGAGUAUCUGAGACAAGUCUCAAUCAUUUUAGAAGUUUAUUUUGCCAAAAUUAAGGACACGCCCGUGACAAAGCCUCAGGAGGUCCUGAAAAUAUGGGCACAAGGUGGUUGAGCUACAACUGGUUUUAUACAUUUUAGGGAGACAUAAAACAUCAAUACACAUAACCUGUGCAUUGGUUCUUUCUGAAAAGGCAGGACAACUAAAAGUGGGGGCUUCCAGGUCAUAGACAGAUUCAAAGAUUUUCUGAUUGGCAAUUGGUUGAAAGAGUUAUUACCUAAAGACCUGGAAUAAAUAGAAAGGAAUCUGGGUUAUAAUAAG
RNAcentral lists this long non-coding RNA (3778 nucleotides) under Homo sapiens (human). Its description in RNAcentral is "non-protein coding lnc-SH3BGRL-5:12". The record is from RNAcentral. Lineage: Eukaryota; Metazoa; Chordata; Mammalia; Primates; Hominidae.